UACGUAGGUGGCAAGCGUUGUCCGGAUUUACUGGGCGUAAAGAGCGCGCAGGCGGUCGGAUAAGUCGAAUGUGAAAGCCCCCGGCUCAACUGGGGAGGGUCAUUCGAUACUGUUCGACUCGAAGGCAGGAGAGGGAAGUGGAAUUCCCGGUGUAGUGGUGAAAUGCGUAGAUAUCGGGAGGAACACCAGUGGCGAAGGCGGCAUCCUGGACCGGUAUUGACACUGAUGAGCGAAAGCCAGGGGAGCAAACGGG
This 253-nucleotide ribosomal RNA is filed under the name uncultured bacterium. RNAcentral describes it as "partial 16S ribosomal RNA". It matches the Rfam family "Bacterial small subunit ribosomal RNA", at positions 524 to 776 of the family's 1533-position model. The record is from RNAcentral.